This 508-nucleotide ribosomal RNA is filed under the name uncultured bacterium. RNAcentral's name for it is "partial 16S ribosomal RNA". It matches the Rfam family "Bacterial small subunit ribosomal RNA", at positions 28 to 507 of the family's 1533-position model. The record is from RNAcentral.
GACGAACGCUGGCGGCGCGCCUAAUACAUGCAAGUCGAACGCUUCUUUCCUCCCGAGUGCUUGCACUCAAUUGGAAAGAGGAGUGGCGGACGGGUGAGUAACACGUGGGUAACCUACCCAUCAGAGGGGGAUAACACUUGGAAACAGGUGCUAAUACCGCAUAACAGUUUAUGCCGCAUGGCAUAAGAGUGAAAGGCGCUUUCGGGUGUCGUUGAUGGAUGGACCCGCGGUGCAUUAGCUAGUUGGUGAGGUAACGGCUCACCAAGGCCACGAUGCAUAGCCGACCUGAGAGGGUGAUCGGCCACACUGGGACUGAGACACGGCCCAGACUCCUACGGGAGGCAGCAGUAGGGAAUCUUCGGCAAUGGACGAAAGUCUGACCGAGCAACGCCGCGUGAGUGAAGAAGGUGUUCGGAUCGUAAAACUCUGUUGUUAGAGAAGAACAAGGACGUUAGUAACUGAACGUCCCCUGACGGUAUCUAACCAGAAAGCCACGGCUAACUACGUG